RNAcentral lists this ribosomal RNA (447 nucleotides) under uncultured bacterium. Its description in RNAcentral is "partial 16S ribosomal RNA". It matches the Rfam family "Bacterial small subunit ribosomal RNA", at positions 329 to 793 of the family's 1533-position model. The record is from RNAcentral.
GUCCAGACUCCUACGGGAGGCAGCAGUGGGGAAUAUUGCACAAUGGGGGAAACCCUGAUGCAGCGACGCCGCGUGAGUGAAGAAGUAUUUCGGUAUGUAAAGCUCUAUCAGCAGGGAAGAAAAUGACGGUACCUGACUAAGAAGCCCCGGCUAACUACGUGCCAGCAGCCGCGGUAAUACGUAGGGGGCAAGCGUUAUCCGGAUUUACUGGGUGUAAAGGGAGCGUAGACGGCAUGGCAAGUCAGAUGUGAAAGCCCGGGGCUCAACCCCGGGACUGCAUUUGAAACUGUCAGGCUGGAGUGCAGGAGAGGUAAGUGGAAUUCCUAGUGUAGCGGUGAAAUGCGUAGAUAUUAGGAGGAACACCAGUGGCGAAGGCGGCUUACUGGACUGUACCUGACGCUGAGGCGCGAAAGCGUGGGUAGCGAACGGGAUUAGAUACCCCUGUAC